GAUGAACGCUGGCGGCGUGCCUAAUACAUGCAAGUCGAGCGAACGGACGAGAAGCUUGCUUCUCUGAUGUUAGCGGCGGACGGGUGAGUAACACGUGGAUAACCUACCUAUAAGACUGGGAUAACUUCGGGAAACCGGAGCUAAUACCGGAUAAUAUUUUGAACCGCAUGGUUCAAAAGUGAAAGACGGUCUUGCUGUCACUUAUAGAUGGAUCCGCGCUGCAUUAGCUAGUUGGUAAGGUAACGGCUUACCAAGGCAACGAUGCAUAGCCGACCUGAGAGGGUGAUCGGCCACACUGGAACUGAGACACGGUCCAGACUCCUGCGGGAGGCAGCAGUAGGGAAUCUUCCGCAAAGGGCGAAAGCCUGACGGAGCAACGCCGCGUGAGUGAUGAAGGUCUUCGGAUCGUAAAACUCUGUUAUUAGGGAAGAACAUAUGUGUAAGUAACUGUGCACAUCUUGACGGUACCUAAUCAGAAAGCCACGGCUAACUACGUG
Molecule: ribosomal RNA, 497 nt
Filed under: uncultured bacterium
Lineage: Bacteria
Description: partial 16S ribosomal RNA
Rfam family: Bacterial small subunit ribosomal RNA
Source: RNAcentral